UACGGAGGGUGCAAGCGUUGUUCGGAAUUACUGGGCGUAAAGCGCGUGUAGGCGGUUCGGUAAAUCGGUUGUGAAAGCCCCGAGCUCAACUCGGGAAUUGCGUCCGAAACUGGCGGACUGGAGUCCCGGAGAGGAAGGCAGAAUUCCCAAUGUAGGGGUGAAAUCCGUAGAUAUUGGGAGGAAUACCGGCUGCGAAGGCGGCCUUCUGGACGGUGACUGACGCUGAGACGCGAAACCGUCGGGAGCAAACAGG
Molecule: ribosomal RNA, 253 nt
Filed under: uncultured bacterium
Lineage: Bacteria
Description: partial 16S ribosomal RNA
Rfam family: Bacterial small subunit ribosomal RNA
Source: RNAcentral